ACAGUAUAUACAUACAUACCUAUACUCCCUAUUGGUUCUGUUUCUCUGGAGAACCCUAAUACAUUUUCUAUACUUUUUUUCCAUGCAUAGUCUUAAAACAAGGACAUUUUAUAUAAGUAACUUUUGUACAAUUUUAUUCUAAGUGUACUUAGUGCUCAUUGAUUUUUCAGAAAUCUAGGAGAAAUUAGAGUUAUAUAAUAUUUACCUUUUUAAAGCACAGAGAAUGCGAGGCUUUCUGUAAGUGAGUCAGCAUACUCUUGAACAGCUUGUCACAGAAUAUGGUUACCUGAAAGCUCAACUUCACUCACUUCUGAGUACUUUUUGGCUGUCACUAUUCCUCAGACCUGGCUGUGGUCUAAAUGGCACACAGUGGGAUUUCUCUCCCUCUGGUGAUCUGACCCUGUAAGUCUGUCACUGCAGUCUGCUAUGAGGUUUAUUUUCUUGGAAGCUGAAUCACACCGAUGGCCCACCUUAUGGGUUCAUCUAAUGCUCCUUUUGUACAAGGCCACUUAUUUGGGAACCUAAGUUUCCUUGUUUUACUAUUGGUCUGGCCCCUGAGUUUGGAGGUUAUUUUCCUCCCUUGAGAAGAUAGAAAAAAGAGACUCCUAGCUCUGUUUCCUUCCAGUUACCUGCUAACAAUGUACUAGCACCUCUGGAUUUGGACCUAUUCCUAAUAGUCUCUAGAGCCUUUGCUUAUUCUGUGUGGUAGCUUUAAUUUAUUGAAUGAUCAUUCAGGUGCAAGAAACAUCACAUUUCUCUGUUUUUCUAAAGUAAAUUAAAUCUAACCUGAGCUGCUUCAGGCCUGGCUAAAGGAACUUCCAAUAUGGGUGGAAAAUGGAAUUCUAAGAGAAAUCGAGGAACUUCCAAUAUGGGUGGAAAAUCGAAUUCUAAGAGAAAAAUGGAAAAUUGGAUCCUAAGAGAACACCUGGCCUUACUCGAUGCCAAGGAUGAGAACCCAGUAGCAGUGAGCACACACAGCAUCCAGAUGUUGGCUUCCAAAUCCCGUUCUCCAUUAAAAAGAAGCAAGGCUCUAUGAAGAAAUGGGUGAUUCCAGGACUAGGGCAGGGAAAAUACAAGAUGAGGCUACGACAUCUUUUUGUGCACAGGAAGUCACCGGAACCUGUUUGAAGGAGCUCUCAUUGACCAAAUCGGUUACAAUUUGAACAUCAAAAUAAAAAACAGAAGUAAAGGAAUAUAACCUAUGAGUAAAGAACAGGACCACAAUUACAGAAAUAGAUAGAUAGAUGAGAGAGAGAGAGAGAGGAAGUUCAUUUUUAUUUUUUAUUUUAUUUUUUUAAUUAUUUUUCUGUGUGUGUGAGGAAGAUCAGCCCUGAGCUAACAUCCACGCCGAUCCUCCUCUUUUUUGCUGAGGAAAACUGGGCCUGGGCUAACAUCUGUGCCCAUCUUCCUCCACUUUAUAUGGGACACCGCCACAGCAUGGCCUGACAAGUGGUGCGUCAGUGCGCGGCCCGCAUCUGAACCCGGGCUGCCAGCAGCGGAGCGCGCGCACUUAACCACAACGCCAUGUGGCUGGCCCGAAAGUUCAUUUUUAAAGUAGAAAGCCAUGUAGAGGAAAUGAUGGAGUUAGAAAAUCAUCAUUUAGCAACCAUCAUAGUAAUAAUUAUGGUUGCUAAAACUAGUGCAAGUUUGAGGAAUAACAGAAUAUUUACAGAGUCUCAAAGUAUCUCUCUAUAAGAUAAAAGGGUACAAACUACAAAGGGUACACUAAAAACUUAACAGUGGAGAAAUCUGGCUAAUACCACUUCAAUCGAUGUCAGAGAUAAUAUCACUAAUAAUGGGACAAACCAAUAUCAUAUGCCUCCUGAAGCACUGACAAGAACUCAGUAUCACUUCUGUGAUAUCCUUGCCAAAUUGCAUAGCCUGGAUCUAAUCAUGAGGAGCUAUCAGACACAUCAGAACUGAGACAUAGUCUACAACACAACUGGCCUGUACUCUUCCAAAAUGUCCAUGUCAUUUACUACAAAGAAAGACUCAGAAACUGUGCCAGACUAAAAGACAUUAAAGAGGCAUGACAAUUGAAUCCACACAUAGUUUUGGCUUUUCUUCUGAUGUAAAAGACAUUUUUGGGACAAAUGGUGAAAUCUGAAUGUCUGUAGAUUAGAUAAUAGUAUUACAUUAAUGAUAAUUUCCUUGGUUUAAGGAAAAAACACACUACUGAGGUAUUUAGAAGUAAAAUGCCAUAGCAGAACUUAAAUGGUUCAGAAAAAAAUUACUUACUAUAGACACAUACACAUAUAUAGAAGAGGGAGGAGAAGCAAAUGUAGGAAAAUGUUAACAAUUGGUGGAUCUGGGUGAAAGGUAUCCAGGAGUUCUUUGUACUAUUCUUGCAACUUUUCUGUCUGAAAUUAAGUCAAAAUAAAAAUUUUAUUUUGAUAGA
Diceros bicornis minor is the source of this 2398-nucleotide long non-coding RNA. RefSeq lists it as uncharacterized. NCBI's taxonomy places the organism in Eukaryota, Metazoa, Chordata, Mammalia, Perissodactyla, Rhinocerotidae. The record is from RefSeq and is a predicted model, not a curated record. The transcript is spliced from 2 exons.